Molecule: small RNA, 27 nt
Filed under: Bombyx mori (domestic silkworm)
Lineage: Eukaryota; Metazoa; Arthropoda; Insecta; Lepidoptera; Bombycidae
Description: ovarian small RNA-8997
Source: RNAcentral
UGUCCAAUAAUUUAGCUGCUUCCAGGG